Molecule: ribosomal RNA, 256 nt
Filed under: uncultured bacterium
Lineage: Bacteria
Description: partial 16S ribosomal RNA
Rfam family: Bacterial small subunit ribosomal RNA
Source: RNAcentral
UACGGGGGGGGGCAAGCGUUGUUCGGAAUUACUGGGCGUAAAGGGUGCGUAGGCGGCUUUCUAAGUUGGAUGUGAAAACUAUGGGCUCAACCCAUAGCCUGCAUCCAAAACUGGAGAGCUUGGGUUCUGGAGGGGAAAGCGGAAUUCCUGGUGUAGCGGUGGAAAUGACGUAGAUAUCAGGAGGAACACCGGUGGCGAAGGCGGCUUUCUGGACAGAUACCGACGCUGAGGCACGAAAGCGUGGGGAGCAAACAGG